Molecule: RNA transcript, 1140 nt
Organism: Gavialis gangeticus (Gharial)
Lineage: Eukaryota; Metazoa; Chordata; Crocodylia; Gavialidae
Gene name: protein lifeguard 1-like
Exons: 4
Source: RefSeq, a predicted model, not a curated record
UUAUCGCUGCUGACUUUGGAGCAUAAAUGCAAGCAACACCCCACAUCCAGCCUCUGGCCAACCUGUAAUCAGUUAAAAAUGACCUUCGCACUUCACCUGGGUGGGGAGUAUUGACAAUAUCAUACACUCUCAUGGUUACAGUACCUGACAACAAGCAAGGAAAGAGGUGAAAAGCCAGUUACACAGCUUUAUUGAAUAACCCUGCCCACAGCGUCUCUUGGUCACAGCACUUUCUACUACCUGACUGGCUACCAAAGCACGACUGGGGCAGGUGUUGUGUUUAAAAGACAUGCAGUUUAUUCAGUGGUGAGAUUUUAGCUUAUUUUGGACGAGCAGCUACAGGGACCAUCAGGUGGUGCUGGACGCAUCUGGAAUGUGGAAUCCCAAUGCAGGAACCCCUGGUGGGAUGCCACCACCCAACAUGCAGCCUUAUCCCCCUCCUCCUGGAUCAUACCCUGGCCCUUAUCCAGGGCCUGGCAUGCCAGCAUGCCCAGUCCCAGGUUAUCCUGGUUCUGGCCACCCUCCUCCACCUUGUGGACCCCCAGGCAUGUAUCCUGGGCCUGGUGGACCCCACCUCCACCCCCAUCCUCAUGGAGCCCACCCACAUGGACCCCACCCUCAUGGACCCCAAGGCAUGAUGCCUGGGGGACCAGGAUGUCAGCCUGUUUCUCCUGGUUAUUAUCCCUCGGGUGGUCAUCAUGGACAUCAUAAAAAGCAUAAGAAAAAGCAAAAGAAGCAUUCCCAUGGACACGGAGGCAAGAAAAGCAGUGGCUCAAGCAGCAGCAGCAGUUCUGAUUCUGAUUAAAGAAGACCUCUCCUCUCAGCCUGGAUCGAGAUGGGUGAUGCAACAGAAGUAGAAUCUAAUUUAGGAAUGCGCUGUUAUUCUACCAAGUCAUUCUUCUAUUCCCCUUUCCACCCCCUUCAGAAUGAAUUUUGUGUAACCUGGUGCGUAGCGAUUUCCUGUUUCUGGCCUCUGACAUUUCCGGCUGGACACAUUUUAGGAUCCUGAACUGAAGUUUUCACCAUGUCUUUACAGAAAAUUCUCUGUCUUAGAGGGUUUCAUUCUCUAAUCCCUGCUGAGAUGCAAAGGGACCACAUAUAACAAUGUAAUGAUUAAACGUUCCGGCUGUGAAUGGAUGG